Molecule: long non-coding RNA, 999 nt
Organism: Megalobrama amblycephala (Wuchang bream)
Lineage: Eukaryota; Metazoa; Chordata; Actinopteri; Cypriniformes; Xenocyprididae
Exons: 2
Source: RefSeq, a predicted model, not a curated record
ACAACUGGGCGGUCAACUAUUGUUUAUUUUGGCGCGAUCUCCACGGUAACACCAGCUUUUCUGGUUGGUGGAUGAGGUUCACGUGAUGCGUCGGUUGAAAUUUCUCCCACUGAAGGGUGAAGACGUCUGUCGGACAACCGCUGUUCUAGCUGCUGUGAGGAAAAAAUUGUCUGACACCACCCCAGACAGCAACAUAGUGUGGCCCAGAUCCGGCCCACAUCUGGUACAUGUGGUUUACACGCGGACCAGAUGUGGGCCAGAUCUGGCCCGACACUAUGUUGCUGUCAGCGACAAGACUAAUAGUCUGCUGGAAUAAGGAGAGAGCACUUGUGGAGAAAUGAGGGGCUGCAGAGCUGUACUUCACUUCCUGAGGACAGUCCUAAAUAGGAUCACGUUCUCCCUCACACAUACAAACAUUCUGAUGUGUAAAUUUGUUUUAAGUAUUUUUUUUUUUUAAUUUGCUCUAUAUUUGUUGAGAGUAAAAUUACAUUAUAAUAUCUUUACAUUUCAGUGCUAGAUUCAUUCAUAUAUUCAUGAGGUGGUAAUAAGAUAUGCUUUGAUUGUACUAAAUAAAAUAGCCUUCACACAGUUACACAAUUCUGAAUGUGGAUAUUAUUAUUAUUAUUGGCUUGUGCAAUAUUGUUAAAUAAACUAAUUUUGAGAAUUGAAUUUUCUUGUGACUCAUUUGUUCACAUGGUUUGGGUAAGAUUAGGCUGGGUUAUGGCUCAUUUUUGGGGUUUCUGGUUAAAGGGUGGUGGUGAUAUGGAUAACAUAUGGCUGAGAAUUGGUACCAAUAAUAAAACCUGUAUUGGCCCACUUCAGGGCCAGUUAAGGGUGAUUAACUGGCUGAGAUUCGGGCCGGUUAUGGCCCAUGUGUGACCCCUGUCUUUAAUCCAGUUCUGGGCCACUUCAGGGCCGUCAUUCUUUGCGGUACUUGGGCCGAGGGAAACGUGAUCGUGUGGCCCGGAGCUGGGCCAGAAAACAUUUGCUAUGUGGGUG